Molecule: ribosomal RNA, 450 nt
Filed under: uncultured bacterium
Lineage: Bacteria
Description: partial 16S ribosomal RNA
Rfam family: Bacterial small subunit ribosomal RNA
Source: RNAcentral
GUGGGGAAUAUUGGACAAUGGGCGAAAGCCUGAUCCAGCCAUGCCGCGUGUGUGAAGAAGGUCUUCGGAUUGUAAAGCACUUUAAGUUGGGAGGAAGGGCAGUAAGUUAAUACCUUGCUGUUUUGACGUUACCGACAGAAUAAGCACCGGCUAACUUCGUGCCAGCAGCCGCGGUAAUACGAAGGGUGCAAGCGUUAAUCGGAAUUACUGGGCGUAAAGCGCGCGUAGGUGGUUUUGUAAGUUGGAGGUGAAAUCCCCGGGCUCAACCUGGGAACUGCCUCCAAAACUGCAUGACUAGAGUACGGUAGAGGGUAGUGGAAUUUCCUGUGUAGCGGUGAAAUGCGUAGAUAUAGGAAGGAACACCAGUGGCGAAGGCGACUACCUGGACUGAUACUGACACUGAGGCACGAAAGCGUGGGGAGCAAACAGGAUUAGAUACCCGGGUAGUCC